CUACGGGUCGCAGCAGUGGGGAAUAUUGGACAAUGGGCGAAAGCCUGAUCCAGCAAUGCCGCGUGUGUGAAGAAGGCCUGCGGGUUGUAAAGCACUUUCAGCUGGGAAGAUAAUGACGGUACCAGCAGAAGAAGCACCGGCUAACUCCGUGCCAGCAGCCGCGGUAAUACGGAGGGUGCAAGCGUUAAUCGGAAUUACUGGGCGUAAAGCGCACGUAGGUGGCUGAUUAAGUCAGAGGUGAAAGCCCCGGGCUUAACCUGGGAACUGCAUUUGAUACUGGUUGGCUAGAGUUUGGUAGAGGGAAGUGGAAUUCCGGGUGUAGCGGUGAAAUGCGUAGAUAGCCGGAGGAACACCAGUGGCGAAGGCGACUUCCUGGACCAAAACUGACACUGAGGUGCGAAAGCGUGGGUAGCAAACAGGAUUAGAUACCCCGGUAGUC
Molecule: ribosomal RNA, 439 nt
Filed under: uncultured bacterium
Lineage: Bacteria
Description: partial 16S ribosomal RNA
Rfam family: Bacterial small subunit ribosomal RNA
Source: RNAcentral